Molecule: non-coding RNA, 1435 nt
Organism: Pelodiscus sinensis (Chinese soft-shelled turtle)
Lineage: Eukaryota; Metazoa; Chordata; Testudines; Trionychidae
Source: RefSeq, a predicted model, not a curated record
CUCUGGCUCAGAUGCACUUUCUGCUCCAGCCUCGUCUUUCUCCCUCCUUCUCUGCCUGGCCCACUUUCCCUUCUCUCUCUCUCAGCCGUCCCCUCUCCCUGGGAAUAUUUCGUGUGUGCAAAGAGCCGCCUUUGGCUAACCUCAGCUGCCCCGGGCACCUGUGCUGCACAGUUACCUUCAUUUGGCUCCUUCGCCCCACCACCUCCUUGAUCGCCCCUGCCUUUGAUCACUUCUUAGAUUUCCCUCUUUUCUUCCCCGUAGUCGCCCUCCAGCUCCGAAUUAAUACUUCGUACAUUUCCAGACCCUCCUUUCCACUCCUUUGUUGUCAAUAAACUUGGAUUUCUCACUGAGCCGUCUGUGGCUUCCUUGGGGUUGUAUAAUCUGGAGGGUGAGCUUCUUAUUCCUCUCUCUUUUCCUCCCUAUAGUUUCUUGAGGACAAAGCUUUUUUGCUCCUUGUCAGUUUCCCCUUCUCCACCCGAGGGAUGUAACUGAAGUACUCCUCUCCAGUCCCUUUCCUACCAACCUGACAACUGCUCUAGGAAAGACAGUCGAUAGAGAUUAUUAAAAUGGACACAAAGCAGCUAAAGAUUUCCAGACGUGUAAUUUAUACCUAGAACAUUAUAAGAUUUUGACUACACAGAAAACUUGGUGAAAAGAAAAUACUUUAUCCUUCAGACUUUUUUAAAGCUCAGGGGAAAGGAAAAUCUUUCCCUCCUUGCAGGAAAACUCACACAGGACUCCAAUUCCACAGCUACAUGGUGGUAUGAACUCAGAGGCCCAGCGAUAAAACUUUAAACACCAACAUUGUUCAAUACGUCACUGCUCAACAAAACAUGUCAGAAAGGAGAGAAAGGAGCAGAUUUGGAAGGUCUACACAAUCUACUCUGAGUGACAGUUCAUUUUGGCACCAUGAGAAAAUGAAUUUGGGAGGGUCCUCUCUCCUCCUCGAUCAAGAAGGAGCCAAACCUAAGGAGCCUAACGGAGCUGAGUGAGGCAUCUGAGCCCCCUCAUUGGGGAGCUAAGCUCACAAAACACCCAGCAGGGCUGACAAGCCUCAUAAAAUCUGAGGAGCCCAGCAAAGCCGACCCUCGGGAAUCCAGAGAGUGUGCAGGGCUAUAUUUUGAACAUGUGCACAAUCUCCUGUCAAUGGCAUCUCAUUUGAGUGGAGCUUAAUUGGGUGGGAGAGCACUACCCCUUGGUCUCCCCAAUUUGACUUCCGCACGAAAGCAUACAACUCAUCAUGGGCAAGCAAAGCAGGCUGACUCCUGAUUUAAAGUCUCCACACAUGUUUUACAAUGCUAAAUGAAAUUAGUUAUCAGUCUUUAAUCACUUGUAAAAAGUUCUGACUCUUUAACAUGCUAAAGGGUUAAUAAGGGCAAUGUGCAUUAAGUAAACAAAUACAACAAAGAAGCCACAAAAUAUGUAAGACUAAAUC